GAUAUUCGGGUAAUCGGAAUUCAACAACUUUGGCACAAUUGAGAAUUUUUCUUGACAGACUGCACGAGCUGCUGAAAUUUUGCAAAGUUUUAUUCUGUGAAAACUAAAUUAAAAUAAAAAUUAAGCAAAAUGACUAACGCCUGGAGAGCUGCUGGACUUACCUACAUCCAAUACUCCAACAUCUGCGCCCGUGUAGUGCGUCAAGCCUUGAAGGGUGAUUUGCGUGCUGAGGCUGCCAAACGUAACGAAAGCCAUGUCAAAUUCACACCAUGGACUGAUGGCAAACCAGCCCAUGAAAAGUGAGAUCUUUAAAAGUCACCAUUAAGUGUCUUUGAUAAGAACUUUUCUUUAGACAUAUCUUCUCGUGCCCAAGCCAGCGAAUAAAUUUAAUCAUUUGUGUAUUGGUUAAAUAUAAAUUCCAUCAAUUCUUAAUUCAUCGUUAGCAGCAGUUUCCAACAAAUAAAUUUAUUAUAAUUUUCGAAAUGUUAAUGCUAAAAGCAACAACAGAAAUAAAACACAACAAUUAUUAAAAAAACAACAA
Musca domestica (house fly) is the source of this 541-nucleotide RNA transcript. It is a transcript of the gene named protein stunted, with no coding region annotated. The record is from RefSeq and is a predicted model, not a curated record. NCBI's taxonomy places the organism in Eukaryota, Metazoa, Arthropoda, Insecta, Diptera, Muscidae. The transcript has 4 exons.